UGGGGAAUUUUGGACGAUGGGCGAAANCCUGAUCCAGCAAUGCCGCGUGUGUGAAGAAGGCCUUCGGGUUGUAAGGCACUUUUGUCCGGAAAGAAAAUCCUUGGCUCUAAUACAGUCGGGGGAUGACGGUACCGGAAGAAUAAGCACCGGCUAACUACGUGCCAGCAGCCGCGGUAAGACGAAGGGGGGCUAGCGUUGUUCGGAAUUACUGGGCGUAAAGCGAGUGUAGGCGGUUGCCGUAGUCAGGUGUGAAAGCCUUGAGCUCAACUCAAGAAAUGCACUUGAUACUGGGUGACUAGAGGACCGGAGAGGAUAGUGGAAUUCCCAGUGUAGUGGUGAAAUACGUAGAGAUUGGGAAGAACACCAGUGGCGAAGGCGGCUAUCUGGACGGUUACUGACGCUAAGACUCGAAAGCGUGGGGAGCAAACAGGAUUAGAUACCCUGGUAGUCCACGCCGUAAACGAU
RNAcentral lists this ribosomal RNA (465 nucleotides) under uncultured bacterium. RNAcentral's name for it is "partial 16S ribosomal RNA". It matches the Rfam family "Bacterial small subunit ribosomal RNA", at positions 355 to 810 of the family's 1533-position model. The record is from RNAcentral.